Molecule: ribosomal RNA, 253 nt
Filed under: uncultured bacterium
Lineage: Bacteria
Description: partial 16S ribosomal RNA
Rfam family: Bacterial small subunit ribosomal RNA
Source: RNAcentral
UACGGAGGAUGCAAGCGUUAUCCGGAAUGAUUGGGCGUAAAGCGUCCGCAGGUGGCUAUGUAAGUCUGCUGUUAAAGAGUGAGGCUCAACCUCAUAAGAGCAGUGGAAACUACAUGGCUAGAGUGCGUUCGGGGCAGAGGGAAUUCCUGGUGUAGCGGUGAAAUGCGUAGAGAUCAGGAAGAACACCGGUGGCGAAGGCGGCAUCCUGGACCGGUAUUGACGCUGAGGCGCGAAAGCCAGGGGAGCAAACGGG